Long non-coding RNA from Bubalus bubalis (water buffalo), 869 nucleotides. RefSeq lists it as uncharacterized. The record is from RefSeq and is a predicted model, not a curated record. The transcript is spliced from 2 exons. Lineage: Eukaryota; Metazoa; Chordata; Mammalia; Artiodactyla; Bovidae.
GAAGUACCCUGGGCUACAUGCAUCCUGAAUAGGCAAUAGGAGUUUUGACCUGCUCCUGCUCUUAAGUUAAAGAGGUUGUAAUACUCCCAGUACUCAUGGUUAGCUGUUGGCAUCUGGCUCUGCGGGAAGGUAGAGAUGGUGAUAAUGAAGUUGUGGAGAUGAUCUCCAUGAUGAUAGAACAAAAAGGGCAAGCAGAUCUUGCAACACAGUUGACCAUGAAGACAGAGAAGCAAUCUCCAAGCAGCGAAGAUCUGGGUCUUCAGCCAUCCCUGAAUUCACCUACCUCCAGCACAUGAGAGAAUGGUCAAAAGCAGGGACCAGUAGUUUAAAUAUACAGACAAUGGCCAGGCCAAAUAUAAAAACAGAAUUCUGAUUCACAUUCUGCAGCACUCAGUCCAGGAAGGCAAACAAUGCCUAUGACAAUCAACACAAGAGGCCAGGACUUGAUUAAUGACUGACAGCUUCACUCAUUUUCCUUUGGGAUCAACUGAGACCCAGCUGGGAAAGUCAAAUAUGCACCCCUACUCAAUCACAUACAAUGCUGUACUUCCAGUUAGCCCAUCUACAGUUUCCCCAGGCCAACACCUCUUCCUUCAGGCAUACCUUUUUUCCAUUUUAUAUAAACUUUUCCCUCUCCUCUGCCUGCUUUUGAGACUCUGCCAACACAAAUGAUGGUAGCUAACUCCCUUGCUAUAGCAACCUCUUAAUAAAAAGCCUUCACUUGUUCCCAUUUGGGUGAUCUUUAUUUCCCCACAAGAUAAUCCAUGAGUUGAUAUUUUUUGAAGUUGUGGGACUAGUAUUAUUGAUCAUUCAUUUAUGCUAUCCUCUCUACCUUUGUAUAUGUUUGAAAUUUCCCACAAUAAAAAAUU